This 494-nucleotide ribosomal RNA is filed under the name uncultured bacterium. Its description in RNAcentral is "partial 16S ribosomal RNA". It matches the Rfam family "Bacterial small subunit ribosomal RNA", at positions 28 to 507 of the family's 1533-position model. The record is from RNAcentral.
GACGAACGCUGGCGGCGUGCUUAACACAUGCAAGUCGAACGGAAAGGCCUGCUUUCCCUUGUGGAUUGCGGGUACUCGAGUGGCGAACGGGUGAGUAACACGUGAGUGAUCUGCCCCCAACUUGGGUAUAAGCCUGGGAAACUGGGUCUAAUUCCCGAUAGGACUGCAGGGUGGUGCCUGUGGUGGCAAACGAUUUUCUAGUGGUUGGGGAUGAGCUCGCGGCCUAUCAGCUUGUUGGUGGGGUAAUGGCCUACCAAGGCGGCGACGGGUAGCCGGCCGGGGAGGGUGGACGGCGACAUUGGGACUGGGUUACGGCCCAGACGCCUACGGGAGGCAGCAGUGGGGAAUAUUGCACAAUGGGCGGAAGCCUGAUGCAGCGACGCAGCGUGGGGGAUGACGGCCUUCGGGUUGUAAACUCCUUGCGACCGCGAGGAAGCCACCUGGUUGGAAGGGUGGUGACGGUAGUGGUAGAAGAAGCACCGGCUAACUACGUG